GCACUUGUCUACAUGGAAGGACCAGCUCUGCAUUGGAUGCGUUGGUUGAGAUAACGUACUCUAAAUGUUUUUUGGCUUCAGCUUACCCAUGAGUUGGUUCACCGCUAUGGAGGAGACAUACGUGCUAACCCUUAUGAGCAUUUGGCCAACAUACACCAAGAUAAAUCUAUUGAUGACUAUAUUGAUGCUUUCGUCGCCAUUGCUUCGCUGGUUGAGGGCCU
Molecule: unclassified non-coding RNA, 221 nt
Filed under: Hevea brasiliensis (rubber tree)
Lineage: Eukaryota; Viridiplantae; Streptophyta; Magnoliopsida; Malpighiales; Euphorbiaceae
Source: RNAcentral